GACGAACGCUGGCGGCGUGCUUAACACAUGCAAGUCGAACGGUAAGGCCCUUCGGGGUACACGAGUGGCGAACGGGUGAGUAACACGUGGGUGAUCUGCCCUGCACUUCGGGAUAAGCCUGGGAAACUGGGUCUAAUACCGGAUAGGACUCCUGGCUUCAUGGUUGGGGGUGUAAAGCUUUUGCGGUGUGGGAUGGGCCCGCGGCCUAUCAGCUUGUUGGUGGGGUAAUGGCCUACCAAGGCGACGACGGGUAGCCGGCCUGAGAGGGUGACCGGCCACACUGGGACUGAGAUACGGCCCAGACUCCUACGGGAGGCGGCAGUGGGGAAUAUUGCACAAUGGGCGCAAGCCUGAUGCAGCGACGCCGCGUGAGGGAUGACGGCCUUCGGUUGUAACUCUUCUAUAGGACGAAG
Molecule: ribosomal RNA, 413 nt
Filed under: uncultured bacterium
Lineage: Bacteria
Description: bacterial SSU rRNA
Rfam family: Bacterial small subunit ribosomal RNA
Source: RNAcentral